UACAGAGGUCUCAAGCGUUGUUCGGAUUCAUUGGGCGUAAAGGGCGCGUAGGCGGCGGGGUAAGUCUGGUGUGAAAUCUAGGAGCUCAACUCCUAAACUGCACUGGAUACUGCUCUGCUAGAGGACUGGAGAGGAGACUGGAAUUCACGGUGUAGCAGUGAAAUGCGUAGAUAUCGUGAGGAAGACCAGUGGCGAAGGCGGGUCUCUGGACAGUUCCUGACGCUGAGGCACGAAGGCCAGGGGAGCAAACGGG
RNAcentral lists this ribosomal RNA (253 nucleotides) under uncultured bacterium. RNAcentral describes it as "partial 16S ribosomal RNA". It matches the Rfam family "Bacterial small subunit ribosomal RNA", at positions 524 to 776 of the family's 1533-position model. The record is from RNAcentral.